UACGAAUGGAGCAAGCGUUGUUCGGAAUCACUGGGCUUAAAGCGUGCGUAGGCGGACAUGAAAGUCAGAUGUGAAAGCCCAGGGCUCAACCCUGGAACUGCAUUUGAAACUCCAUGUCUAGAAUCCGGGAGGGGUUAGUGGAAUUCCUAGUGUAGAGGUGAAAUUCGCAGAUAUUAGGAGGAACACCAGUGGCGAAGGCGACUAACUGGACCGGUAUUGACGCUGAGGUACGAAAGCGUGGGGAUCAAACAGG
Molecule: ribosomal RNA, 253 nt
Filed under: uncultured bacterium
Lineage: Bacteria
Description: partial 16S ribosomal RNA
Rfam family: Bacterial small subunit ribosomal RNA
Source: RNAcentral